RNAcentral lists this ribosomal RNA (433 nucleotides) under uncultured bacterium. Its description in RNAcentral is "partial 16S ribosomal RNA". It matches the Rfam family "Bacterial small subunit ribosomal RNA", at positions 29 to 507 of the family's 1533-position model. The record is from RNAcentral.
AGCGAACGCUGGCGGCAGGCCUAACACAUGCAAGUCGAACGAACUCUUCGGAGUUAGUGGCGGACGGGUGAGUAACACGUGGGAACGUGCCUUUUGGUUCGGAAUAACUCAGGGAAACUUGUGCUAAUACCGAAUGUGCCCUUCGGGGGAAAGAUUUAUCGCCAUUAGAGCGGCCCGCGUCUGAUUAGCUAGUUGGUGAGGUAACGGCUCACCAAGGCGACGAUCAGUAGCUGGUCUGAGAGGAUGACCAGCCACACUGGGACUGAGACACGGCCCAGACUCCUACGGGAGGAAGCAGUGGGGAAUCUUGCGCAAUGGGCGAAAGCCUGACGCAGCCAUGACGCGUGAAUGAUGAAGGUCUUAGGAUUGUAAAAUUCUUUCACCGGGGACGAUAAUGACGGUACCCGGAGAAGAAGCCCCGGCUAACUUCGUG